GAGCUUGUCCGGACAAACAAGAACUGCUAAUUCAUGAUCCCCAUGGUUCAACUCCAUGGCUCGCUCG
Molecule: transfer RNA, 67 nt
Filed under: Synapturanus sp. MNHN-RA-2020.0087
Lineage: Eukaryota; Metazoa; Chordata; Amphibia; Anura; Microhylidae
Description: tRNA-Ser
Source: RNAcentral